UCACAUCAUAACGUGUGACAUAUAUCCUAAGGUCUAGCAUGACAACAAAUUCUCUAGCCAUCCCGCCACUUGAGACAUACCGAAACCCACCCCACCAUGUGACAUUAAACAUACAUGUAAGAAAGCUAGGGGUGGGCUUGGGACUUAUGAGAGGUCAUGCGAGAGAUAGAAUGCUUGGGCUAUCAAUCCACUUUCUCCUCCCUCGUGCAUCGCUUCUCGAUGGUUCCACGCCCAUGUUGCACACCUCACGUGACCGAGCCUGGCAUUUGGUAUAUACCAAACUUCGGUUAUUAAGUUUUGUUGUUUCUAUAUUUCCGUUUUAAUUCCGUUGGUUAAGUAAAAUGGAAAUAACUAGCAAGAGUGAAAAACCCAUCACAUCGGUGAAGAUCGCCCCCAAUCCACUCACAUGAGAUCGCUUUGAAAAAAUGAAAUUUGUUACUUCACAUCAUUGAAGAUCCACACCCUUCCACUCACACGAGAUCACAUCAUCUACCCGAGAUUUGUGUGACCCUUUUCCUCACACAAGAUCAUGUCAUAACGUGUGACAUAUAUCCUAAUGUGUAGCAUGACAAUAAAUUCUCUAGCCGCCCUGCCACUUGAGACGUGCCGAAACCCACACCACCAUUUGACAUGAAACAUGCAUGUAAGAAAACGAGGCAUGGGUUUUGGGCCUUAUGAGAGGUCAUGUAAGAGCCACAAAUCUUGGGUUGUCAAUCCCCUUUAUCCUCCCUUGUGGAUCGCUGCUUGACGAUCCCAUGACCAUGUUGGGUACCUCACAUGGCUAACCCUGCCAUUUGCUACAUAAACUUCGGUUAGUAAGUUUUGGUGUUUCUAUAUUUCAUUUUUUAUUCGGUUUUCGACUUAUACUGAAAGAGUAUCCCGUGUGCGGUUCACCAAGGAUAUGGAUGCCUUCCACCCGAGGCAUACCACCCUAUUAAAUAGUCAAGCUCCUGCCUCCAUUUUUUGCAGCCUGGUGAUGUGGUACUAAAAACCAAAUGGACAAGCCCCAUGGGAGAGACUCAUUGGUGUGGGUAAGAAAAAUAGGUGAUGUAGAUUAUUGGGCAUUGCCUAUUUGCCUACAGUAUUGAGGUGGAUGCCCACAUGAGUGAUUGGGUCUUCCCUGACUUGCACACACGACCACAUGGCACUCACCUUAACCUUAGGGGAGCGACUCUGUGUCGACUAUUGUGAGACGAAACAAGGUGCCGCCUAGAGUGCUGACGAAAUUGGCUAGAACACCAUGCUGGGCGACCAUCGGCCUUAAGUGUUGAUUUUUUAUCUUAUUUUUUCUUUCUUUUAUAUUUAUUUUAACAGUUUUCCAUUAUAUUUCACAGUUUAUGCUUAUAUACAUCCACCCCUGUAACUUCUCAACUACCGACGCACUACAAUCACUAGGAAAAUGCUUGUGCAUUUCUACAUGCAAUAUGAAUCCAUUAAUCACAAUUUAGCAAAUGCGUACACCAAUAAGUGGAGCAUUGUUUGAUAUCAUAGCUGAAUGUCCAUUAUUCGAUAUCAUAGGUCAACAUCCGUGAAUUGCGACCAAAUAUAUAUUACUAUGAUGACCAAAGGCAUGAGCAACACAAAAAUCAAGCACAACAAAAUAUUUCCCAACAACUGCCAAAGAAAAAGAUUGCAAAUAACAACUUAAAGAAACCAAUAUCGCAAAACUAACAAGCCUUUGAACAAACAAGAUUUAACAUGACACUAAUUGGGUAUGCUUAAUUUGCACGAUACAAUGGUUCACGGGGAAACAAGUUUGUGCUGAGUGAUACAAGUUUGGUCUAUUCAACAAAACACAUCAAAUUUCCUGACUUAGGCAUUGAUAUCAAAAGUAUUCCGAGUCUUUAUCUAGAUAGAUCCAAACAAAUAUACAAGGAUGAGAACUUCCAAAUAAUCUUAUAGAUUGUGAAUCUAGCAACAUGAGUAUCAAUUCUACACUUUCCACAUAGGCAAUACAAUUUUAACUAGUGGGUUAUGCUUGUUUCCCGAAACAAGAUCAAGCGGGAGGUUGGUGUUAAUUCACCUAGGUGUAGAACCUUCUUUCGCUGAACACCAAUCCAAAGGACCAUGCUUGUUGCUUCGAAGAUCACUUGUAGAGCUUGUGCGUCUCGGGACAAUGAGGGAUUAGAGGAGUAGGCGACACUAUCUUUCCUAGAGGCGGGCCUACUACUGGUCGGGUGAGACUCUGCUGUGCAUCACAAUUCUUGAUCUUGUUUGUAAUUGAAGAGAGGUCCCAAGGCAGGAUGGCACUCACACGAGGGCUUGAUAAGUUGCAUUAGAGUGUGCUUUGAGGAUCACUUGAAGACUCAGAGCGGCACUGAUUAUAGAGAGCAUGGGGAAUGCUUAGUUUCUUGAAGGCUAUGCUUUGUUUUGUGCUAGAGGAUUUAGAUGUGGUCAGAUGGAGUUGGGCCAUGAAAUUAUAUUGAGAAAUUGAAGGGCAAAAGUUAAGAGAAACUUAGAGUUGUUGUUUAUGGAUGGCGAUAGGCCCAAGUUGCAUGUUUGUUGGUUUUGGGUGAUGAGAAUUGGAGAUUGGGAGGAAAGAGGAUAUGCUACGUUAGAAAAAAACAUUAAAGAAUUCGAGUUUGGCUACAUCAGUGCGAACUAUUAUGUUCAGCCUUUAGAAUCAGUUGUGUGCCCAACACUUCUUCCGAAACUGGUUUUGAUUCCAUUUUUGUUGUAUGUGUGCAGUUUUCAGAAUGGAGACUCACGCACCGCUUAUGACCGAUCAAUUAGACUCUACAUAUUAUGGCUUUUCCUUGUCUAGCCACCUUCAUGACCAAAGAUCUAAAUGAUUUAUUGCUUUUGCCAUGUCUAAGGUAAAUGCUUUUUUUCGAGCCUACGUUAGUUUCAAAAUGCGCAAGUUUAAUUAGCCGAAAAUGUAAGUUUGAUUUUUUUCAAAAAGAAAGUGUAGAGUGGAUUUUGGACGUUUUUACAAAGUGUGAAAUACACUUUUUUAGAAAACAUUUGUACUUAUAUGAAAAAAUAACCUUUUACUGCUUACUAUUGAAAUGUGUGUGCAAGGGUUAUUGAUUAUUUAGAGCCCGCUGUGGUAUCCAUUGCCUAUCCAACACUCUAUGCAAACAUCAAAACACUAUUACCGUAACACCAAGUAAGAAAUCAAUGCCUUGUGAACGUAUAUAUACACAUUUAUUUGAUAAGAAAUGUUAUCCUCAACCACGAGGGGAAGCACCUCGUGUAACGAUCUCCAACCAAAACUACAUACUUAGGUGAAUAAACAUUGUGACGCAUUAGCACAGUUAGCUUGUAUUGCAAGUACAAUAUGAUAUCAUACUUCACAUGCACAAGUGUGGUGUACUUGGAUAAAGCAUAAGUGACCAUUGUAAUUACGUGUGAGAAUAUAUAACAAGAUUUUUAGUUUUGGGUAACGAAGGGAAAGUAAUGCAAUGAACCUCGCAUAUGUAUUCCUCCUCUGGAAUACAUUCAUCCAUCCUCUCGUCCUCCGAUAUGUAUAGAGUAGGCCACAAUAGGUUAAUGGGGGAAAGUUGUUUGUAAUUAGGUAUUGUGUAGAAAAUAUUCAAGAUAAUCAUUGGCCUAAGACUAUACCAAAAAUCUGCAAAUGAAGAGCAAAAGGAAGAUAUUUAGUUUAAUUGUGAUGCAAGAAGCCGCUUAACUACACUAUUUAGGUGGGCCAACACGUGUAGGCGGACCAGGUGGUAUAUAUUGUUGGUGUUGGAUUUCCGUUUUAGGCUCACUGGAACUUCAUGGGGUGUUUGUUUUUAUGGGCGUGCGCCAUGGAUAGCUAGCGAGUAAAUGUUUGCUUUGUAGAUGUGUCCUUAGUUUCUUCCCAUAUUUCAUGUUGGAUAUGAUUUGUUCUCCUAAAUUGGCUAAGAAAUAUUGGAAAUAACUGAAAAAGAUAAAAACAUCAUGUCAUCGAAGAUCCACCCCCUCCGCUCGCACGAUAUUGCUUUGGAAAUGGAAAUAAUCCCUUCAUGUCAUGGAAGAUCUACAUCCUUCCACUCACGCGAUAUCGCAUCAUCUUACCUGGGUCAGUCUUCCCCCUUUCCUCACAAAAAAUCACGUUGUAUUGCAUGAGAUAUAUCCUGAAGUCCACUUAUUGUAGAACGAAAAUAAAUUCUCUAGCGACCCCGCCAUUUGAGACGUACCGGAAGCCUCCCCACCAUCCGAAAUUAAUGACACAUGUAAGCAAAGUGAGGGGUGGGUGUUGGGACUUACGAGAAUCCAUGCGAGAGCCGCAAUGCUUGGGGUGUUGAGCUCAUUUAUUCUCCACGUGGAUCGCUUCUUAAUGGUAUCACGCUCGAGUUGGUCACCUCCCAUGGCUAAGCCUCGCAUCUGGUGUAAACUAAAAUUAAGUUAGUAAAUUUUGGUGUUUCUAUAUUUGUUGUUCGAUUCUGAUUUCAGUUUAUUCCUAAAGGGUAGACUGCAUUAGGCUAACUAAGGAUAUGGAUACCUUCAACGCUUGGCACCCCGCAAUAUUAAAUAGAAAAGGUCCCUACCUCAUUUUGUGUAGCCACAUGAUGUGGGAGAAAUCACGAAAGAGACAAGCCCCGUGGGAGAGACUAAUUGGACUGGUUGAGAAGAAGAAGUUUUGUAGAAUAUUAGGCCUUGCGUAGUUGCAUACAAUGUUGAGGUGAAGAUCCAUAUUGUGCGGAUGUUUCCUUGUCAAACGGGCCAAAUAUCCCCUAAAUGGGUGAUCGGACGAUGAAAUCAAUCUUAGGACACUACCGAUUUGGCUAACGGCUUAUCAAAUCCCUAAUAUUUUGAAGUUGGGUUUGAGUUAGAGGAACGAGAGUCGAUGUGUUUGUGGUUCUAGAGGAUUGCCAAAGAUGCCCUAUGAGACUUUAUGACUUGUUCUCACACGUUGCUCGUAUUAAAACUACAAUAGGAAAUCAUACUUCACAUGCACAAAUGUGUGGUGUACCUAGAUAAAGCAAUAGAGACAAUUGUAGUUACAUGUGAGAACAUAUUAAAAAUAAUUUCAGUUUUGUGCAAUCAAGGGAAAGUAAAGUAAUGUCCUUCUCAUAUUUAUGCUCGCACUGAUCACAUUCAUCCAUCCACUCGUCCUUAUAGCUGUAUAGAGUAGGCCACAAUAGGGCCAUGGGAGAGUGUUGUUUGUAAUUAGGCGGUAACUGUGUACAAGACAUACAAGACAAUCAUUGUCCUAGAGCCUAUACCAUCCAUAUGCAAAUAAAGUGCAAAAGGAAGAAAUUUUGUUUAACUCUAAAGCAAGAAGCCGCUUAACUACACUAUUUAGGCAGGCCAACAUGUGUGGGAGGACUAGGUGGUAUUUUUGCGGUGAAUUUCCAUUUUAAGCUCAUUGGAACUCGAUGGGGAUGUUUGCUUUUUAGGUGUGGCCCAUGGACAGCUAGCCAACAAAUGGUAGCAUUGUAGAUGUGCCCUUUGUUUUUUCCCGUAUUUCAGGAUAGAUAUGCAUUUUUUUUCUUAAAUUGGUUAAGAAAACAUGGAAUUAACUAGCAACAAUGAGAAACACAUCACAUCAUUGAUGAUCACCCCCACCCCCCGCCCCCCGCCUCCACUCGCUUGAGGUCGCUUUGGAAAAAUGCAAAUUACGACUUCAUGUCAUGGAAGAUCCACACCCUUCCACUCACACGAGAUCACAUCAGCUAACCCAAGAUCCGUCUUACCCAUUUCCUCACAGAAAAUCACAUCAUAAUGUGUGACAUAUAUCCUAAGGUCUAGCAUGAAAACAAAUUCUCUAGCCACCCCGCCACUUGAGACAUACCGAAACCCACCCCACCAUGUGACAUUAAACAUACAUGUAAGAAAGAGAGGGGUGGGCUUGGGAGUUAUGAGAGGUCAUGCAAGAGAUAGAAUGCUUGGGCUAUCAAUCCACUUUAUCCUCCCUCGUGAAUCGCUGCUCGAUGGUCCCACGCCCAUGUUGGACACCUCACAUGGCCGAGCCUGGCAUUUGCUAUAUACCAAACUUCGGUUAGUAAGUUUUGUUCUUUCUAUAUUUCCUUUUUGAUUCAGUUGGUUAAGAAAAAUGGAAAUAACUAGCAACAGUGAAAAACCCAUCACAUCACUGAACAUCACCCCCACUACACUCACAUGAGAUCGCUUUGAAAAAAUGAAAAUUAUCACUUCACAUCAUUGAAGAUCCACACCCUUCCACUCACAUGAGAUCACAUCAUUUAACCCGAGAUCUGUCUUCCCCUUUUCCUCACACAAGAUCAUGUCGUAACGUGUGACAUAUAUCCUAAUGUCUAGCAUGACAAUAAAUUCUCU
Molecule: long non-coding RNA, 6225 nt
Filed under: Hordeum vulgare
Lineage: Eukaryota; Viridiplantae; Streptophyta; Magnoliopsida; Poales; Poaceae
Description: long non-coding RNA (HVUL_LNC001860)
Source: RNAcentral